RNAcentral lists this ribosomal RNA (772 nucleotides) under uncultured fungus. RNAcentral's name for it is "bacterial SSU rRNA". It matches the Rfam family "Eukaryotic small subunit ribosomal RNA", at positions 803 to 1591 of the family's 1831-position model. Lineage: Eukaryota; Fungi. The record is from RNAcentral.
UUUAGCACGGGAAUAAUGGAAUAGGACUUUGGUCCUUGUUUGUUGGUUCACAAACCAAAGUAAUGAUUGAUAGGGGCAGUUGGGGGCCAUUUGUACUGGCGCAGGAGAGGUGAAAUUUGCAGAGUGCGCUAAGACAAACUGAUGCGAAAGCGUCUGGCAAGGAUGUUUUCAUUGAUCAAGAACGAAAGCUGGGCUAUCGAAGACGAUUAGACACCGUGGUAGUCCCAUGCCAUAAACUAUGCCGACUAGGGAUUGGAGAUAGAACUUCAUAAUGACUUCUUCAGCACCUUACGAGAAAUCAAAGUUUUUGUGUUCUGGGGAGAGUAUGGUUGCAAGGCUGAAACUUAAAGGAAUUGACGGAAGGGCACCACCAGGGGUGGAGCUUGCCGCUUAAUUUGAUUCAACACGGGGAAACUUACCAGGUCCGGACUCAGGAAGGAUUGACAAGCUUAAAGACUUUUCUUGAUUCUGAGGGUGGUGGUGCAUGGCCGUUCUUAGUUGGUGGAGUGAUUUGUCAGGUUGAUUCCGUUAACGAACGAGAUCCCAGCCUACUAAAUAGUUUGAUUAUUCUUUGAAUAUUUAAACUUCUUAGAGGGACUGCCAGAUUAAACUGGAGGAAGGUUGGGGCAAUAACAGGUCCGUGAUGCCCUUUAGAUGUUCUGGGCCGCAAGCGUGCUACAAUGAUGUCUUCAACAAGUAUAUUAUCCUACACCGAGAGGUGGUUGGGCAAUCUUUUUAAAAGACAUCGUACUGGGGAUAGGGCAUUGCCAUA